Molecule: ribosomal RNA, 395 nt
Filed under: uncultured bacterium
Lineage: Bacteria
Description: partial 16S ribosomal RNA
Rfam family: Bacterial small subunit ribosomal RNA
Source: RNAcentral
AUACGUAGGGUGCGAGCGUUAAUCGGAAUUACUGGGCGUAAAGCGUGCGCAGGCGGUUUUGUAAGACAGUGGUGAAAUCCCCGGGCUCAACCUGGGAACUGCCAUUGUGACUGCAAGGCUGGAGUGCGGCAGAGGGGGAUGGAAUUCCGCGUGUAGCAGUGAAAUGCGUAGAUAUGCGGAGGAACACCGAUGGCGAAGGCAACCCCCUGGGCCUGCACUGACGCUCAUGCACGAAAGCGUGGGGAGCAAACAGGAUUAGAUACCCUGGUAGUCCACGCCCUAAACGAUGUCAACUGGUUGUUGGGAAUUUAUUUUCUCAGUAACGAAGCUAACGCGUGAAGUUGACCGCCUGGGGAGUACGGCCGCAAGGUUAAAACUCAAAGGAAUUGACGGGG